This 482-nucleotide ribosomal RNA is filed under the name uncultured bacterium. RNAcentral's name for it is "partial 16S ribosomal RNA". It matches the Rfam family "Bacterial small subunit ribosomal RNA", at positions 30 to 507 of the family's 1533-position model. The record is from RNAcentral.
AUUGAACGCUGGCGGCAUGCCUUACACAUGCCAGUCGAACGGUAACGGGCCUUCGGGUGCCGACGAGUGGCGAACGGGUGAGUAAUACAUCGGAACGUGCCCGAUCGUGGGGGAUAACGAGGCGAAAGCUUUGCUAAUACCGCAUACGAUCUACGGAUGAAAGCAGGGGACCGCAAGGCCUUGCGCGGACGGAGCGGCCGAUGGCAGAUUAGGUAGUUGGUGGGAUAAAAGCUUACCAAGCCGACGAUCUGUAGCUGGUCUGAGGGGAUGAUCAGCCACACUGGGACUGAGACACGGCCCAGACUCCUACGGGAGGCAGCAGUGGGGAAUUUUGGACAAUGGGCGCAAGCCUGAUCCAGCCAUGCCGCGUGCAGGAUGAAGGCCUUCGGGUUGUAAACUGCUUUUGUACGGAACGAAAAGCCUUCUUUUAAUACAGGAGGGUCAUGACGGUACCGUAAGAAUAAGCACCGGCUAACUACGUG